This is a long non-coding RNA of Gadus macrocephalus (Pacific cod), 543 nucleotides long. RefSeq lists it as uncharacterized. NCBI's taxonomy places the organism in Eukaryota, Metazoa, Chordata, Actinopteri, Gadiformes, Gadidae. The record is from RefSeq and is a predicted model, not a curated record. The transcript is spliced from 3 exons.
AUGACCUGGCCUCAGUUCACUCCAGACUAUUUGCGUAGCCCUUUUUUGCAAAUGGUAGUUUUCUCUAUAAUGUUGGAGAUUCUGAGCACAUUGGGAAAGCUACGGUGCGCCGAUCCGUGCGUAAAGUGCGUCUUGCGCUGAAGCGGUUCAUGCGCGACUUCAUCCGCUUCCCUGGACACAAACCCACGAGGGUCAUACAAAUGGAGUUCCACCAACUUGCAGGUCAGCAUUAUCUACUUUAACCAAAUGGCACAGAAAUUAUCUUUGUUGACUUUUCAUCUGGGUGUUAUAUUUCAGGAUUUUCAAAUGUAAUUCGGUGCAUUGAUGACACACAAGUCCCCAUAACGGCCCUAUCUAUAAAUGAGGCUGAACAGGAAAGGCUAUCACAGUAUAAAUGUUCAGAUUUGUGAUGCUUCCCACAUGAUCACGAAUGUAGAGGCAAAAUGGCCUGGUUCGGUCCACGAUGCCAGGAUGUAUCGUGAAUCAAAUUUGAGCAAUAUCAACAGGGGCAUUCGAUGUGUAUCUCCUAUUGAUCAAGGGUAU